UGAGGAAUAUUGCGCAAUGGGCGAAAGCCUGACGCAGCAACGCCGCGUGGAGGAUGAAGGCUUUCGGGUUGUAAACUCCUUUCAGGAGGGAAGAAGUAGAUUGGGCAACCAGUCGGACGGUACCUCCAGAAGAAGCCACGGCUAACUCUGUGCCAGCAGCCGCGGUAAGACAGAGGUGGCAAGCGUUGUUCGGAUUUACUGGGCGUAAAGGGUGCGUAGGCGGUUGAAUAAGAUGUGCGAGAAAGCUCACGGCUUAACCGUGAAAGUUCGUACAUGACUGUUUGACUAGAGAAUGGGAGAGGAAAGCGGAAUUCCCGGUGGAGCGGUGAAAUGCGUAGAUAUCGGGAGGAAGGCCUGUGGCGAAGGCGGCUUUCUGGAACAUUUCUGACGCUGAAGCACGAGAGCGUGGGGAGCAAACAGGAUUAGAUACCCCCGUAGUCC
Molecule: ribosomal RNA, 441 nt
Filed under: uncultured prokaryote
Description: bacterial SSU rRNA
Rfam family: Bacterial small subunit ribosomal RNA
Source: RNAcentral